Buceros rhinoceros silvestris is the source of this 152-nucleotide non-coding RNA. The record is from Rfam. Lineage: Eukaryota; Metazoa; Chordata; Aves; Bucerotiformes; Bucerotidae.
CCUCCCGUUCUUGGCAGGCCCCGGCCACCCUGUGCCCGGGUCUGUGAUAUCUGGAGGUAGAGCAGUGGCUCUUUCACAGGCACCCCCUUGUCAUGGGGAAAGAGCUUGCAUGCCCUUGUGAGGUUGAGAGCUGUGCUGGUGGUGGCAUAUGC